GAGUUUGAUCCUGGCUCAGGAUGAACGCUGGCGGCGUGCUUAACACAUGCAAGUCGAACGGACUCAUAUUGAAACCUAGUGAUGUAUGAGUUAGUGGCGGACGGGUGAGUAACGCGUGGAAAACCUGCCGUAUACUGGGGGAUAACACUUAGAAAUAGGUGCUAAUACCGCAUAAGCGCACAGCUUCGCAUGAAGCAGUGUGAAAAACUCCGGUGGUAUACGAUGGUUCCGCGUCUGAUUAGCUAGUUGGCGGGGUAACGGCCCACCAAGGCGACGAUCAGUAGCCGGCCUGAGAGGGUGAACGGCCACAUUGGGACUGAGACACGGCCCAAACUCCUACGGGAGGCAGCAGUGGGGAAUAUUGCACAAUGGGGGAAACCCUGAUGCAGCGACGCCGCGUGAGUGAAGAAGUAUCUCGGUACGUAAAGCUCUAUCAGCAGGAAAGAAAAUGACGGUACCUGACUAAGAAGCCCCGGCUAACUACGUGCCAGCAGCCGCGGUAAUACGUAGGGGGCAAGCGUUAUCCGGAUUUACUGGGUGUAAAGGGAGCGUAGACGGCAGUGCAAGUCUGGAGUGAAAUGCCGGGGCUCAACCCCGGAACUGCUUUGGAAACUGUGCAGCUAGAGUGCGGGAGAGGUAAGCGGAAUUCCUAGUGUAGCGGUGA
This 664-nucleotide ribosomal RNA is filed under the name uncultured bacterium. RNAcentral's name for it is "bacterial SSU rRNA". It matches the Rfam family "Bacterial small subunit ribosomal RNA", at positions 9 to 684 of the family's 1533-position model. The record is from RNAcentral.